This 253-nucleotide ribosomal RNA is filed under the name uncultured bacterium. Its description in RNAcentral is "partial 16S ribosomal RNA". It matches the Rfam family "Bacterial small subunit ribosomal RNA", at positions 524 to 776 of the family's 1533-position model. The record is from RNAcentral.
UACGUAGGUGGCAAGCGUUGUUCGGAAUCACUGGGCUUAAAGGGCGCGUAGGCGGGCUGCCAAGUCAGGGGUGAAAGCCCACGGCUCAACCGUGGAAGUGCCUUUGAUACUGGCGGCCUUGAGGGAGGUAGGGGCGUGCGGAACUUCCGGUGGAGCGGUGAAAUGCGUAGAUAUCGGAAGGAACACCGGUGGCGAAAGCGGCGCGCUGGACCUCUUCUGACGCUGAGGCGCGAAAGCCAGGGGAGCAAACAGG